Long non-coding RNA from Lepidothrix coronata (blue-crowned manakin), 1009 nucleotides. RefSeq lists it as uncharacterized. The transcript is spliced from 3 exons. NCBI's taxonomy places the organism in Eukaryota, Metazoa, Chordata, Aves, Passeriformes, Pipridae. The record is from RefSeq and is a predicted model, not a curated record.
CCCGCUCCUUCCCGCCCCUUCCCUGCCCGCUCCUUCCCUUCCCUUCCCUUCCCUGCCCGCCCCUUCCCUUCCCUGCACGCCCAGCAGCCCUCGCGCGGGGGGUGGAACGUUUCCUUCUUUCCUUGCGCCCGGAGACACCGGGGGGCGGCGUUGGGAGAGGGGGGCGCUGCAGAGCUCGCAGCUCUUCGGUAAAACCCUGACUCGAGGGACCGGCCCGUGCCGACAGCCCGGCUCCGGGAGCCUACGAGACAGAUGGAGAGGGACUUUUAAUAUGGGCAGGCAUAUAGUAUUUCCUCCCAGAAAAAGAUUGAGCAAGGAUUUGAAGAGGUCAGAAGAAAACUCAUCUCCAUCAAACAAUUCAAUAGAGAAGAAGAAAAAUAUUUUUAUCUCUCACUGAUAACUGCUCCUUUUCCUUCCGCUGAGGAGUUAAUUCCGCAAGAAAUAAAUAAAACAGCUUCCUCAAGUGGACUUCAAUGUGAAAUUUAGAGUAAAUGGGCAUUUGUAGAAAAAUAGAGAAUCCCUAACCAGUAAAAGGUAUUUGCAUACAUACGCUAAAAGCAAUAUGUGGUAUUAAAGAUCUUGAUGAGGAUGGAUGCUACAAGCCCCCAAAAAUGGAGCAGGCAAGCAGAACCUACUGUAAUAGAAUGAGUAGAUACUUCUAAAUGCCACAAACAUGUCUUAAAUACCAGAUGUUCUCAAGAAGGCAACACUACUGAUAAUUGUAACAUCAAAUUGAAAUUUAAUUCCAGCCUAGUUUUUAGAUCUUGGGGGUUUUGGCAGGUUUUGAAUAAAAACGUUUUAGGCAUGAUAUAUUUUGGCGUAUGCAACUGUCAUGCAUUGGCCCCACUUCUUCACUGUCCUCAAUUUCCAAACGCAUGGGACUUAGAAUGUGAAGAACUACAGGCAAAGAUCAGGCCCCAGACAAUCAGGGGAGCCUCAGUGGCUUUUGAGAAGCUACACCGCAUAAACCUAUGACAGUAGUAGCACUCUUUCCAACAUUGACUUUAUG